CUGUCACCCUCUGCCACCCCGUUCUCCUUUUGCCUUCAGUCUUUCCCCACAUCGGGAUCUUUUCCAGCGAGUUAACGCUUAGCAUCAGGUGGUCAAAGUAUUGGAGCUUCAGCUCUUAAAAAAAAAAAAGUUUAAAAAAAUAUGACUCUCAGGGUUGCAACCUCCAUGGUGGAUGGAUGGACGAAACUACCAUUGGUUAAGUUGAGAAAUGAAGAAAAAGGAGCCACCUAUUAGACGGGAAAAGGAAUUUCCCCCAACAGAUGGCGUUUGAGGCAACAGGACAUCGAGGUAGGUAGUCCGGGCAGUUGGAUGACAGAUGACAGAACAGUCAGGGCUGGAAAUAAGGAUCUGGGAGCCGUCUCCCCCCAAACAGCUCUUCCUCCUUCCUUCUGAGUAGAAUCCCACCUGUGUUUGGGUGGCCAGGGCCCAAAUAGAGAGGAAAAAUCAUGAUCGGCCUGAGUCCAGGUAGGGUUCCUCACUUGCCUCUGAUUGGCCCAGGGGUGAGCCAUGUGACCCAACUCUAGCCAGUAAGACGCAUGUAUUUCCGGGAGGGAUUUUUCUCCAAGAGGAGAAGGGCUGUUCUGCAUUCAUGUCCUUCCUUCCUGUCAGUGACCUGCCAGGAGAAAAUGGAAACCGUUAGAGCAGCACCUUGAAGGGCGUGACUGGGCAGAAAGACAGUCAGAACUUCGGGCGCUGCUGCCCUUCUUGAUCCGCUGAACAAAGUCUGGAUUUGCCAACAUCUAGACUUCUUGUGACACUUAUGUUUAUUAAAUGUCUCUGCCUUGGUGCCUCCCCAUGAUGGGUGAGGAACUCGGCUUAUUCCUGGGGACAGUGGCCUGCCACCAGAGAGGCCAUAGCCUGGAGCAAGAUGCCUCACAGGGUCGCGAGGAAACGGCCUGGAUCUUUGACCGGGGCCGCCCCUCCUAAGCAACUGCGUUAUGGAUGGGCCCCCUAACUCACACAAAAGUAUCAUAAAACAUUGGGGAGACCUGUAACACUGCCGUUUAAAGAAGGAGAGAGCCGACCGUGGAGGCGCCCCUGCAGCAGGUUUUACAGAACACGGAUGCUAUUCUGGUGGCCAAGUUUUUUGAUGAACAAAGCAGUAAAACCACAAGAGGUACUUACGUUUUCGUCAUGGAAGAGGAAAGCAAAAUUGGGAUCUCUGAGGUUUCUAAUAAACCAGAAAAGAACCCAGUUGUGUCAAAUGCUAAUCUCCUCUUCUAAUUGUCUGUCUGUCCGUCCUGAUGUCUAACUGGAGGGCAGGUACCAGUAUUGCACACUGCUGGGGGGAAGCUACUCUUCAUUGCCUGUUGUCCAAACACUGGAAAUUUCCUGGAUUCCUUGCUGCAGUCUUCAAAGUUAAUGGACAUUUGCUGACUUUUUAAAAGCUUGCUGUUACCAGGAACAAAAAGAAGCACAAGAGAAAAAUGCUUACCUCCAGAUUCUCCAAGGUAGGCAAAAAAUUCUUCCCAAAGAAAUGAACAACAGUUAUAAAACUGCUCCCGUGAUCUUCAUGAAUCUGGAUCCUGGCUCUCACACGGCAGCCUCCUAGGUCCUGGGUAGGAUUCAGAGACAGGAGGACAGAAGGAACAAGAUGGGAUCUGGUCCUCAGAAGUGGGGUCCAGUAUCGUAUCAGAUGGGUCCUCCUGCCUGGCUGACCCCCCUCCUUCCCACUCUUUCCUGCUCCCACAGCAGCGUCUCAUUUUCUGAAUACUCAGGACGCUUCUCCCCCUGCGCCUGUUUACUUGCUGUCUUCUCCUCCCAGCGGCCUCCAUUCCAUUCCUCCAUCCUUUAACAUUCAAUAUGGAAAAUGCCUCCUCCAGGCAGCUCCCCACCCUGACUAUCUCAGGUUCUGUUAUGUUUCCUUCCAGCAUGUUUCUCUGCCUGCUUUAUCACUGCAUGAAUCACAACGUAUAAUAUUUGCUGAUUUUCAUCUUGGUCUCCCCUAUGGUGCCACCGUGAGCCAGACUGUCUCGUUUGUCUUUGGACAACCGUGUUCAGCACAGUGCCCGUUCCAUACCAGGACGGCUGGAUGAACAGACUCUGAAAUGCUUGACAAUGAGUUCUAGGGUGUCAGAUGGAGCUCCUCAAGUCAAUCAUGCCCACCCGGAAUUGUGACAAUUGUAAUAUGGGUCUGUGCACUAAUUUUAACAUUUCCAAAUGCCAAUUGGACGACAUCAUACAGUAACCAGG
Long non-coding RNA from Odocoileus virginianus texanus, 2193 nucleotides. RefSeq lists it as uncharacterized. Lineage: Eukaryota; Metazoa; Chordata; Mammalia; Artiodactyla; Cervidae. The record is from RefSeq and is a predicted model, not a curated record.